GCAUCAUCAAGGUGGGUAAAAGAAACAGAAAUGAAUUUACGUCUGAAGAAACGUACAUCUUGAUGUGUGGCAGUGGAAUUAGGAAUAGAAGAAUGGAAAGAAUUGGUAAAGAAGAAUAGGUGUGGAGAUUGAAUGGUACCCAAUGGCCUUUGCAGUUGAAGGUGGAAGCUCCUCCAAGUAGUUGGCAAAAUGCUUCGGUGCGCCAUUAUCAUGGAUCUCUCGUCCGCUCGCCUCUGCAAAUUUUUCAGGUUUAGUUUGGAUGGGAGAGAGGAAAAUUAGAUUAAAUUAAAGGAAAUG
Molecule: unclassified non-coding RNA, 297 nt
Filed under: Hevea brasiliensis (rubber tree)
Lineage: Eukaryota; Viridiplantae; Streptophyta; Magnoliopsida; Malpighiales; Euphorbiaceae
Source: RNAcentral